This 476-nucleotide ribosomal RNA is filed under the name Steinernema siamkayai. RNAcentral describes it as "partial large subunit ribosomal RNA". It matches the Rfam family "Eukaryotic large subunit ribosomal RNA", at positions 527 to 975 of the family's 3401-position model. The record is from RNAcentral. Lineage: Eukaryota; Metazoa; Nematoda; Chromadorea; Rhabditida; Steinernematidae.
UGGCGUCUUUGGUUAACUUAGUGUCUGGCGGCAAUGGUGACCCUGCGGAGGGAUAAUCGGUUGUCGUGCGAUGCUUGGUAUGGCUAGAGGUUCGCUGGUCUUAUAGUCAUCGCUUUAUCUGACCCGUCUUGAAACACGGACCAAGGAGUGUUUCGCUUACGCGAGUCUUAGAGUGUGUCAAAACUUUGAGGCGUAACGAAAGUAAAUGUGGAUUUAUUCACUGACUUGGGAUGCGUUGUCUUUUUUGGAUAGCGUUGGACCAUGGUUUUAUCGUAAUCGCUUGCGAUGCGGUGAAAAUAGAGCGUAAGCGGUGCGACCCGAAAGAUGGUGAACUAUGCCUGAGCAGGAUGAAGCCGGAGGAAACUCUGGUGGAAGUCCGAAGCGGUUCUGACGUGCAAAUCGAUCGUCUGACUUGGGUAUAGGGGCGAAAGACUAAUCGAACCAUCUGGUAGCUGGUUUCCUCUGAAGUUUCCUCA